CCUACGGGAGGCAGCAGUGAGGAAUAUUGGGCAAUGGGCGCGAGCCUGACCCAGCCACGUAGCGUGAGGGAUGACUGCCCUCCGGGUUGUAACCUUCUUUUAUAGAGGAGUAAAGUGAGGCACGUUUGCCUUUUUGCAUGUACUUUAUGAAUAAAGAUCGGCUAACUCCGUGCCAGCCGCCGCGGUGAUACGGAGGAUCCGAGCGUUAUCCGGAUUUAUUGGGUUUAAAGGGAGCGUAGACGGGUUGUUAAGUCAGUUGUGAAGGUUUGCGGCUCAACCGUAAAACUGCAAUUGAUACUGGCAGUCUUGAGUACAGGUGAGGUAGGCGGAAUUCGUGGUGUAGGAGUGAAAUGCUUAGAUAUCACGAAGAACUCCGAUGGCGAAGGCAGCUUACUAACCCGUCACUGACACUGAGGCUCGAAAGCGUGGGUAUCAAACAGGAUUAGAUACCCGGGUAGUC
Molecule: ribosomal RNA, 460 nt
Filed under: uncultured bacterium
Lineage: Bacteria
Description: partial 16S ribosomal RNA
Rfam family: Bacterial small subunit ribosomal RNA
Source: RNAcentral